Molecule: ribosomal RNA, 496 nt
Filed under: uncultured bacterium
Lineage: Bacteria
Description: partial 16S ribosomal RNA
Rfam family: Bacterial small subunit ribosomal RNA
Source: RNAcentral
GACGAACGCUGGCGGCGUGCCUAAUACAUGCAAGUAGAACGCUGAAGAGAGGAGCUUACUCUUCUUGGAUGAGUUGCGAACGGGUGAGUAACGCGUAGGUAACCUGCCUUGUAGCGGGGGAUAACUAUUGGAAACGAUAGCUAAUACCGCAUAACAAUGGAUGACACAUGUCAUUUAUUUGAAAGGGGCAAUUGCUCACUACAAGAUGGACCUGCGUUGUAUUAGCUAGUAGGUGAGGUAAUGGCUCACCUAGGCGACGAUACAUAGCCGACCUGAGAGGGUGAUCGGCCACACUGGGACUGAGACACGGCCCAGACUCCUACGGGAGGCAGCAGUAGGGAAUCUUCGGCAAUGGGGGCAACCCUGACCGAGCAACGCCGCGUGAGUGAAGAAGGUUUUCGGAUCGUAAAGCUCUGUUGUAAGUCAAGAACGGGUGUGAGAGUGGAAAGUUCACACUGUGACGGUAGCUUACCAGAAAGGGACGGCUAACUACGUG